UGGCUCAGACGGUAAAGCAUCUGCCUGCAGUGCAGGAGACCCAGGUUUGAUCCCUGG
This 57-nucleotide transfer RNA is filed under the name Capra hircus (goat). It matches the Rfam family "tRNA", at positions 8 to 63 of the family's 71-position model. From Rfam's summary of the family: Transfer RNA (tRNA) molecules are approximately 80 nucleotides in length. Their secondary structure includes four short double-helical elements and three loops (D, anti-codon, and T loops). Further hydrogen bonds mediate the characteristic L-shaped molecular structure. tRNAs have two regions of fundamental functional importance: the anti-codon, which is responsible for specific mRNA codon recognition, and the 3' end, to which the tRNAs corresponding amino acid is attached (by aminoacyl-tRNA synthetases). tRNAs cope with the degeneracy of the genetic code in two manners: having more than one tRNA (with a specific anti-codon) for a particular amino acid; and 'wobble' base-pairing, i.e. permitting non-standard base-pairing at the 3rd anti-codon position. Lineage: Eukaryota; Metazoa; Chordata; Mammalia; Artiodactyla; Bovidae. The record is from Rfam by way of RNAcentral. RNAcentral also lists the same sequence under 2 other names.